UCGGGAAUUUUGGGCAAUGGGGGAAACCCUGACGCAGCGACGCCGCGUGUGGGAUGAAGGUCUUCGGAUUGUAAACCACUGUCGCGAGGGACGAAGCUCUGACGGUACCUCGAAAGGAAGCACCGGCCAACUCUGUGCCAGCAGCCGCGGUAAUACAGAGGGUGCAAGCGUUGCUCGGAUUUACUGGGCGUAAAGCGUACGCAGACGGUGAGGAAGGUCGGAUGUGAAAGCCCUGGGCUCAACCCAGGAACUGCAUCCGAAACCGCCUCGCUAGAGUAUGAGAGAGGAAAGCGGAAUUCCUGGUGUAGAGGUGAAAUUCGUAGAUAUCAGGAGGAACACCUGCGGCGAAGGCGGCUUUCUGGCUCAUUACUGACGUUCAGGUACGAAAGCGUGGGUAGCAAACAGGAUUAGAUACCCCUGUAGUCCCUGAGCGGGC
This 436-nucleotide ribosomal RNA is filed under the name uncultured bacterium. Its description in RNAcentral is "bacterial SSU rRNA". It matches the Rfam family "Bacterial small subunit ribosomal RNA", at positions 355 to 804 of the family's 1533-position model. The record is from RNAcentral.